AGCUCCAAUAGCGUAUAUUAAAGUUGUUGCGGUUAAAAAGCUCGUAGUUGGAUCUGCGGACGUGGAGAGCGGUCGCCUAAUUGGUUGUACUGUUCUCCUGUCCUAUGAUGUCUAGUUUUGCCAUGGUGCGCUUCACUGUGUGUCAUGGUUAGCUAGAAAGUUUACUUUGAAAAAAUUAGAGUGCUCAAGGCAGGCGUUUCAGCCUGAAUAGUGGUGCAUGGAAUAAUGGAAUAGGACCACGGUUCUAUUUUGUUGGUUUUCGGAGCAGUGGUAAUGAUUAAGAGGGACAGACGGGGGCAUUCAUAUUGCGACGUUAGAGGUGAAAUUCUUGGAUCGUCGCAAGAUGAACUACUGCGAAAGCAUUUGCCAAGAAUGUUUUCA
This 381-nucleotide ribosomal RNA is filed under the name uncultured eukaryote. Its description in RNAcentral is "SSU rRNA". It matches the Rfam family "Eukaryotic small subunit ribosomal RNA", at positions 587 to 972 of the family's 1831-position model. The record is from RNAcentral.